Non-coding RNA from Paramuricea clavata, 453 nucleotides. The record is from the annotation of a GenBank genome assembly. NCBI's taxonomy places the organism in Eukaryota, Metazoa, Cnidaria, Anthozoa, Malacalcyonacea, Plexauridae.
AAUAGCGAACUUAAGCAAAGCUUAAUCUAGUACGGGGACGUGUCGAGAAACCGCCUUAAAUUUUACACUUUUAUAAUUAUAAAGAAAUACUGUUAUUAAGAACUUCAACAAGCAGGAUAAAAGUGCAACCAAAACAGCUAAUAAUAUCAUAUUAAUGCAAGAAAAUGAGCAGAAAUUAACAAUUGAAAUCUCACCGACGUUUUAGACGUCGCCGUAGCUCUGUUUUACAACGGCAAAAUACAGAUUAUCACGUCUUGUAUACAACGCUUACAUUUCAAGCUGAAACAACUGCUAUUUUAAAUUGGGUCCUAGAACUUUUCUUAAUCAUAAACCCUGUGUUAACCUUGAUCCUUAAACAGUAUUAUUUUUAUACGAUGGAUAAUAAACGACGUGUUUUCUUCUGAAAUCAUUUGGUUCAACAAGUUUGUUUGCCGUCGCCGUCGCGUUCCCGUC